Molecule: long non-coding RNA, 386 nt
Organism: Apis mellifera (honey bee)
Lineage: Eukaryota; Metazoa; Arthropoda; Insecta; Hymenoptera; Apidae
Exons: 2
Source: RefSeq, a predicted model, not a curated record
UGUAAUGCACGCAUUAAUGGGAUGUAUUCUUCUUCGUGCUUUGAAAAUGUAUUAAUAUCUGGUUCUGGCUAUACUAUAGUACCUCCACUUUCUGCAGGACUGACAACGUGAAGAGCAUUUCCAACCUGUCCUAUUCCAGGCUGUAAUUAAAAAAUGCAUAAAAAUUCACUACCAAAAGUGCAUUAAAGAAUUGUGCAAUAAUAGCAAUAUAAAAAUAUAAUCAAUACUAGAACGAGCAUAUAAAAGACAUAUUCUAUUACUUUGUUCAAUGAAGCAAUGAACAAGUCAAGAAAACAUUAAAUUAUUAUAUACACAUAUGUAUACGUACCAUGCGAUAAAUUCUGGGAAGAUUCAUCCAUGAUUCUCUUGCAUCAGCCAAAGCAUGG